UACGUAGGGUCCGAGCGUUGUCCGGAAUUACUGGGCGUAAAGAGCUCGUAGGGGGUUUGUCGCGUUGUUCGUGAAAACUCACAGCUCAACUGUGGGCGUGCGGGCGAUACGGGCAGACUAGAGUACUGCAGGGGAGACUGGAAUUCCUGGUGUAGCGGUGGAAUGCGCAGAUAUCAGGAGGAACCCCGGUGGCGAAGGCGGGUCUCUGGGCCGUAACUGACGCUGAGGAGCGAAAGCGUGGGGAGCGAACAGG
RNAcentral lists this ribosomal RNA (253 nucleotides) under uncultured bacterium. RNAcentral's name for it is "partial 16S ribosomal RNA". It matches the Rfam family "Bacterial small subunit ribosomal RNA", at positions 524 to 776 of the family's 1533-position model. The record is from RNAcentral.